Molecule: ribosomal RNA, 679 nt
Filed under: uncultured bacterium
Lineage: Bacteria
Description: bacterial SSU rRNA
Rfam family: Bacterial small subunit ribosomal RNA
Source: RNAcentral
ACGAGAAUCUGUAGAACGAGGAUUCGUCCAAGUGAAGCAGAGGACAGUGGCGGACGGGUGAGUAACGCGUGAGGAACCUGCCUUUCAGAGGGGGACAACAGUUGGAAACGACUGCUAAUACCGCAUGACACAUUGAAGUCGCAUGGCUUUGAUGUCAAAGAUUUAUCGCUGAAAGAUGGCCUCGCGUCUGAUUAGCUAGUUGGUGAGGUAACGGCCCACCAAGGCGACGAUCAGUAGCCGGACUGAGAGGUUGAACGGCCACAUUGGGACUGAGAUACGGCCCAGACUCCUACGGGAGGCAGCAGUGGGGAAUAUUGGGCAAUGGGCGCAAGCCUGACCCAGCAACGCCGCGUGAAGGAAGAAGGCUUUCGGGUUGUAAACUUCUUUUGUCAGGGACGAGCAGAAGACGGUACCUGACGAAUAAGCCACGGCUAACUACGUGCCAGCAGCCGCGGUAAUACGUAGGUGGCAAGCGUUGUCCGGAUUUACUGGGUGUAAAGGGCGUGUAGCCGGGAGGGCAAGUCAGAUGUGAAAUCCACGGGCUCAACUCGUGAACUGCAUUUGAAACUACUCUUCUUGAGUAUCGGAGAGGCAAUCGGAAUUCCUAGUGUAGCGGUGAAAUGCGUAGAUAUUAGGAGGAACACCAGUGGCGAAGGCGGAUUGCUGGACGACAACUGAC